GCACCGGAUCCCAUCAGAACUCCG
Molecule: small nuclear RNA, 24 nt
Filed under: Arabidopsis thaliana (thale cress)
Lineage: Eukaryota; Viridiplantae; Streptophyta; Magnoliopsida; Brassicales; Brassicaceae
Description: snRNA_17394
Source: RNAcentral